GACGAACGCUGGCGGCGUGCCUAAUACAUGCAGGUAGAACGCUGAAGGAGGAGCUUGCUUCUCUGGAUGAGUUGCGAACGGGUGAGUAACGCGUAGGUAACCUGCCUGGUAGCGGGGGAUAACUAUUGGAAACGAUAGCUAAUACCGCAUAAUAGUAGAUGUUGCAUGACAUUUGCUUAAAAGGUGCAAUUGCAUCACUACCAGAUGGACCUGCGUUGUAUUAGCUAGUUGGUGGGGUAACGGCUCACCAAGGCGACGAUACAUAGCCGACCUGAGAGGGUGAUCGGCCACACUGGGACUGAGACACGGCCCAGACUCCUACGGGAGGCAGCAGUAGGGAAUCUUCGGCAAUGGACGGAAGUCUGACCGAGCAACGCCGCGUGAGUGAAGAAGGUUUUCGGAUCGUAAAGCUCGGUUGUAAGAGAAGAACGAGUGUGAGAGUGGAAAGUUCACACUGUGACGGUAUCUUACCAGAAAGGGACGGCUAACUACGUG
RNAcentral lists this ribosomal RNA (495 nucleotides) under uncultured bacterium. RNAcentral describes it as "partial 16S ribosomal RNA". It matches the Rfam family "Bacterial small subunit ribosomal RNA", at positions 28 to 507 of the family's 1533-position model. The record is from RNAcentral.